This 273-nucleotide long non-coding RNA is filed under the name Elaeis guineensis (African oil palm). RNAcentral describes it as "long non-coding RNA (EGUI_LNC051353)". The record is from RNAcentral. Lineage: Eukaryota; Viridiplantae; Streptophyta; Magnoliopsida; Arecales; Arecaceae.
GGAUAAAGUCUGGCUUCCGUAGGAGUCCGGACGAAAUUUACCUGCACCUAGAGUCAGGAACAAAGUCCGGCGCCUGUAGAGUUUGGAUGAAGUUUACCAGCAGCUGGAACCGUGGGCGGAGUCUGGCUCCCGUAGGAGCCCGGACGGAGUCUGCAGGUGAAGUCAUGGGCAAGGUCCGGCUCCCGUAGGAGUCUGGACGAUGUUUUCCUAUAGCUGGAGUUGUCGGUGGAGUCCAGCUCCCGUAGGAGCCCGAGUAAAGCCUUCCAGCAGUUG